RNAcentral lists this long non-coding RNA (448 nucleotides) under Mus caroli (Ryukyu mouse). Its description in RNAcentral is "predicted gene 14330 (MGP_CAROLIEiJ_G0003951.1)". The record is from RNAcentral. Lineage: Eukaryota; Metazoa; Chordata; Mammalia; Rodentia; Muridae.
CCAAACCCCAGGAGGGCUAGCGUGUAAGCCCUUUAUGUCUGAAGGUCUUUCUCUGUGGCCAUGGAGGCUCAGCUCUGAGAACUCGGGAUAUAACAGAGUCUUCCCCCUGAGGAACUUCGAUUCGAACAGUGGUGAUCUGGUGCUAGUUAAACAGGGGGAAAUUGAGGCAAGAAAUCCUCUACGCUGGGAAAUCUGGUUCCUCUUCUGAACUCUACUGCAAACACAUACAGCUGCCCGGCUGUCCACUGGAAAAGUGCAUUGUGUAUGAAGUGUGAGACACCAGUGCUUUGUCAGGGUUCUUCCUCCUCCUACAGUCCUUACUGCUCCUCUGAGACCUAGAAAGUACCAUUUUCAGUUUCUGUUUAGCAUCAUUAAGGAAGAGCUGCAAUGGACAAGCUUCCUAGAGAUGGCCCACCAUCUUGCUCUGCUGCAAUAGGUGAACCCUGAG